RNAcentral lists this ribosomal RNA (170 nucleotides) under Rhadinocentrus ornatus. RNAcentral's name for it is "partial 12S rRNA". The record is from RNAcentral. Lineage: Eukaryota; Metazoa; Chordata; Actinopteri; Atheriniformes; Melanotaeniidae.
AACCGCGGUUAUACGAGAGGCCCAAGUUGACAGCCGUCGGCAUAAAGGGUGGUUAAGUAAAAUUUUAAACUAAAGCUAAAUGCUCUCAAGGCAGUUAUACGCACCCGAGAGCCAGAGGAACCCCUACGAAAGUGGCUUUAACCUAUUCUGACCCCACGAAAGCUGUGAAA